AGGACGAACGCUGGCGGCGUGCUUAACACAUGCAAGUCGAACGGAAAGGCCCGCUUGCGGGUACUCGAGUGGCGAACGGGUGAGUAACACGUGGGCAACCUGCCCUCAGCUUCGGGAUAACAUUUGGAAACAGGUGCUAAUACCGGAUAAUAACCUUUCAUCGCAUGGUGUGGGGUUCAAAGUUUUUCGGCUGGGGAUGGGCCCGCGGCCUAUCAGCUUGUUGGUGGGGUAAUGGCCUACCAAGGCGACGACGGGUAGCCGGCCUGAGAGGGCGACCGGCCACACUGGGACUGAGACACGGCCCAGACUCCUACGGGAGGCAGCAGUGGGGAAUAUUGCGCAAUGGGCGGAAGCCUGACGCAGCGACGCCGCGUGAGGGAUGACGGCCUUCGGGUUGUAAACCGUCUUUCAGCUCUGACGAAGCGAGAGUGACGGUAGGAGCGAGAAGAAGCACCGGCCAACUACGUGCCAGCAGCCGC
This 479-nucleotide ribosomal RNA is filed under the name uncultured bacterium. RNAcentral describes it as "SSU rRNA". It matches the Rfam family "Bacterial small subunit ribosomal RNA", at positions 26 to 518 of the family's 1533-position model. The record is from RNAcentral.